This 380-nucleotide ribosomal RNA is filed under the name uncultured eukaryote. RNAcentral's name for it is "partial 18S ribosomal RNA". It matches the Rfam family "Eukaryotic small subunit ribosomal RNA", at positions 592 to 976 of the family's 1831-position model. The record is from RNAcentral.
CAAUAGCGUAUAUUAAAGUUGUUGCGGUUAAAAAGCUCGUAGUUGGAGUUCUGCCAGGUGCCGCCUGUCCGCCCCAGUGGUGAGUACGUGGCGCGCAUUUGGCCCUUUCAAGGGGAGCGUAUCUGCACUUUAUUGUGUGGUGCGGGAUCCUUGACUUUUACUUUGAGGAAAUAGGAGUGUUCCAAGCAGGCUCUCGUCGUGCACAGCUCAGCAUGGAAUAAUAGCAUUGGACCUCGAUUCUAAGCUGUUGGUUGCCAGAAGCGAGGUAAUGAUGAAGAGGGAUAGUUGGGGGCAUUCGUAUUUCAUUGUCAGAGGUGAAAUUCUUGGAUUUAUGAAAGACGAACUUCUGCGAAAGCAUUUGCCAAGGAUGUUUUCAUUGA